RNAcentral lists this long non-coding RNA (699 nucleotides) under Lynx canadensis (Canada lynx). RNAcentral's name for it is "lncRNA (ENSLCNG00005016857.1)". Lineage: Eukaryota; Metazoa; Chordata; Mammalia; Carnivora; Felidae. The record is from RNAcentral.
UUCAUAUCUCUGGCAGACUCCUUCAGGGACAAUCACAUUCACACAUUCAAUGAAGACUUGAGACAAGGAUCCUACCGCACAUCCUAGGCUUCCCUUGCCACCUCUUCAGACUGACUUUGAGUCGGAGUUCCCUCUUGUCCAGCAAGAAAAUGGAUGCAGAAUUGAAUACAAGAGAGGCUAAUGUCCGGGAGGAGACGAGAGCCCCAAGAUCUGCAAAACGAGGACUGAGCAGAUCACCUCCACAUUUCUUCCACGCUACAAUUCUAUGAAUUGGAAAUAAAAUGGAACCUUCCCAGAACAUGGGUGAGACCCCUGCAGACAUGCUGGAUACCCUCCCGGGGUAGAGCCCUCAGCCCCACUGAAGGGUACUGGAAGGAGGAAGUAUAGGAUACCCGGCGGGGAAUCAAGUGGUUCCUGCAGGAUCAGUGCCUCCACAAUGACCAAGGUUUAGACCAAGACUUCAGGGUGCUAAAGGUGGUGAAGGUAAGCAUUUGUGGACCCAGCGGGUUUCAAACCCAGCUCUUUCCCUUUGGACAUUUGAGGCCUUGGGGGGUGGAACUGCUUCAUCUCUUUAAGCCUCAGAUUCCUUUUUACCACUUGUUAUAGGAAAUAAGUGUAUUGUCAUCAUCAUUGUUUUCAUAUUGGGGAUCCAGUUCUAUGAGUUCCAAGGAAUUUGGUGGAACAGGUAUAGCAGUAUAG